AUUUCAUUGUUUGUUCAUUUUACGUGGUGCUGAGGGUAAACCCAGUGCCUCACACGUACCAUCAUUGUAUCACUGAGCCACAAUCCCAACCAGCCCCUCAAUUGACUCUUGACUUUUGUAUUUCAUAACAGGGUACCUCUUUGAAUCUAAGCUUCCCUUGAAACUUUAUGUUAAGUUUUUCCCUCUCUUUUCUAUUUUUUUCCCCCCGUGGUUCUGGGGACGAAACCCAAGGCAUUUCACUUGGAACAAGUGCUCCACCAGUGAGCCUCACCCCAACCCCCAUAUUUAUUUAUUUAACUCAAACUAGAUUCAUGGCUUAAUUGAAUUUAUGAUGAGCUCUCAGCUCUGAGAAAGUCUUUAGCUGGGGCUGCUUUGACUUCAGGACCUGCUGCUGCUGCACACCAUUCAGGAGCAUUGCUGGUGCAGAUUGCUGUGCUGUCCUUUCACAGUCACCUUGUCCCCCAAGGAAAAUCAGUCCAAGAGGGAAAGUCUGGCCUCUUGCUCUGAAGGUAGAAGGCCAGGGAACAGUUUUGUUUUGAUUCGAAACUAUUACUUCAAAAUCUGAAUGGAAAUUGUUCAGAAAUAGUGGCUUUUCCUGAAAUUGGGUUAGCCAGUGCAGGAGUUCUUGGUGGUAAUUCUUUCAGACAGUUCUCCUCCCCUAGCUCUGGAGCCUUGUCCCUCUCCUGAUUCCUCGGUGUAUGCUGGGCACAGGUGAUCUCCAUCCCUUUCCUUUGCUUGAUCGAUGGUUCCUCUCCCUGUCCUGUGAACUUGGAGCUUGUAUCUGGGGUUUCUAUCACAGUUGUGGUUCCACCCUGAGGACCAGAUGCCAUGGUGGGGGGCUGUAUGUGGCGCAGUGGUGGGUGCCUGCUUUGCAUGCGCAAGGCCCAGGUUUCAUUUGCACACUGCAAAAAACAAAAAAAAGCAGAAACUUCCUUUGUAACCGUUCUGCCACUUUGUAUGAAUCCUAAUUUUUUGACUUACAUUAGAUUUGGGAUCCACAGAAAGAGCAGUUUUUGUUGCUGCUCAAAGUAUGUGAGAUGAAAUGCCAAGGCAGUCAUUGUUUUAAAGUAGAUGCACUGGUAGCUUUCUGGUUGUGGAGAUGCUUGCUCAUAUCACUGUGUGCAUAGGGAACAGUAGUAUGAGGACGUUCCUUUUUGAGAAAAUAUGAUUUAACUGGUAGAGAGAAGAACCAGGAAAAUCCUUGGGUACUUUUCACUGGUGUACUAGAAAUCCUGAAAACAUUUUUUUUUUUGUUUAAAAGAAAAUUAAGGGGGUGCUGGGGCUGUGGCUCAGCAGUAGUGCACUUUCCUGGCAUGUGUGAGGCACUGGGUUCGAUUCUCAGUACUGCAUAUAAAUAAGUAAAAUAAAG
Molecule: long non-coding RNA, 1369 nt
Filed under: Marmota monax (woodchuck)
Lineage: Eukaryota; Metazoa; Chordata; Mammalia; Rodentia; Sciuridae
Source: RNAcentral